This 846-nucleotide ribosomal RNA is filed under the name Azospira sp. ST6-4. RNAcentral's name for it is "bacterial SSU rRNA". It matches the Rfam family "Bacterial small subunit ribosomal RNA", at positions 61 to 898 of the family's 1533-position model. The record is from RNAcentral. Lineage: Bacteria; Pseudomonadati; Pseudomonadota; Betaproteobacteria; Rhodocyclales; Rhodocyclaceae.
GUCGAACGGAAGGUCGGGAGCUUGCUCCUGGUGGCGAGUGGCGAACGGGUGAGUAAUACAUCGGAACGUACCCAGGAGUGGGGGAUAACGUAGCGAAAGUUACGCUAAUACCGCAUAUUCUGUGAGCAGGAAAGCGGGGGAUCGCAAGACCUCGCGCUCUUGGAGCGGCCGAUGUCGGAUUAGCUAGUUGGUGAGGUAAAAGCUCACCAAGGCGACGAUCCGUAGCAGGUCUGAGAGGAUGAUCUGCCACAHUGGGACUGAAACACGGCCCAGACUCCUACGGGAGGCAGCAGUGGGGAAUUUUGGACAAUGGGGGCAACCCUGAUCCAGCCAUGCCGCGUGAGUGAAGAAGGCCUUCGGGUUGUAAAGCUCUUUCGGCGGGGAAGAAAUGGCAACGGCUAAUAUCCGUUGUUGAUGACGGUACCCGCAUAACAAGCACCGGCUAACUACGUGCCAGCUGCCGGGGUAAUACGUAGGGUGCGAGCGUUAAUCGGAAUUACUGGGCGUAAAGCGUGCGCAGGCGGUUUCGUAAGACAGACGUGAAAUCCCCGGGCUCAACCUGGGAACUGCGUUUGUGACUGCGAGGCUAGAGUACGGCAGAGGGGGGUAGAAUUCCACGUGUAGCACUGAAAUGCGUAUAGAUGUGGAGGAAUACCGAUGGCGAAGGCAGCCCCCUGGGUUAGUACUGACGCUCAUGCACGAAAGCGUGGGGAGCAAACAGGAUUAGAUACCCCUGGUAGUCACCGCCCUACACGAUGUCAACUAGGUGUUGGAAGGGUUAAACCUUUUAUUACCGCACCUAACGCGUGAAUUUGACCGCCUGGGGAGUACGGCCGCAGGGUUAAA